Molecule: small nuclear RNA, 338 nt
Filed under: Octodon degus (degu)
Lineage: Eukaryota; Metazoa; Chordata; Mammalia; Rodentia; Octodontidae
Description: 7SK RNA (ENSODEG00000023103.1)
Rfam family: 7SK RNA
About the family: 7SK was discovered as an abundant small nuclear RNA in the mid-70s but a possible function has only recently been suggested. Two independent studies have found that 7SK RNA binds the CDK9/cyclin T complex (known as elongation factor P-TEFb). P-TEFb activates transcription by phosphorylating the C-terminal domain of RNA polymerase II.
Source: RNAcentral
GGAUGUGAGGGUGAUCUGGCGGCCACAUCUGUCACCCCAGUGAUUGCAGGGUUGAUUCAGCUGAUCUGGCUGGCCGGGCAGUGUUCCCUACCUCCUUCUCCUCUCUAUGUGUGUCCCUUCCAGAGCUGCAUGCUGAAUGGAAUAGGACAACCACCCUGAUAGAGGACAACUCGAGUGUCUACCUUGGUAAAUGCUACACAGAGAGCUGGAACCUCCAAAUAAGCUCUCAGACAGGACAGGGUUCCCUGGGGCUCAAGCUCAGGGUGACUGGAGCCUACACACUCAGCCCCUGCACUGGACCCUGCCAGAACAGCCGCUGCCACAGUCUGCACCAGGCA